UACGAGGGGUGCAAGCGUUGCUCGGAAUUAUUGGGCGUAAAGGGUAGGUAGGUGGUCUCAUUUGUCGGGGGUGAAAUCCUUGGGCUUAACUCAAGAAGUGCCCUCGAAACGGUGAGACUGGAGUCCUGGAGAGGGUCGUGGAAUUCCCGGUGUAGCGGUGAAAUGCGUAGAGAUCGGGAGGAACACCAGCGGCGAAGGCGGCGACCUGGACAGGUACUGACACUCAACUACGAAAGCGUGGGGAGCAAACAGG
This 253-nucleotide ribosomal RNA is filed under the name uncultured bacterium. Its description in RNAcentral is "partial 16S ribosomal RNA". It matches the Rfam family "Bacterial small subunit ribosomal RNA", at positions 524 to 776 of the family's 1533-position model. The record is from RNAcentral.